Acanthochromis polyacanthus (spiny chromis) is the source of this 2071-nucleotide long non-coding RNA. RefSeq lists it as uncharacterized. The record is from RefSeq and is a predicted model, not a curated record. Lineage: Eukaryota; Metazoa; Chordata; Actinopteri; Pomacentridae. The transcript has 6 exons.
AUCUGAAGACUUGACUCCUGGACUCCUUUGAUGAUUCUAUGGUGAGACUUAGAUAUUUUCAGACCUAGAACUUAGAAUUAAAUCACAGUUGUUAAUACAUAGAGUGAUCAGGUUAAACAUAGAUCUUACGUAGUGGGGCAACUGGCCCCCCCACUACACACUGAUGCAUAAUGGCUGCCAAAAAUGUAAACGUGACAGCUGACUUAUUUUUUGGUUUGUCCUACAACCCUUUUGAAGCUAUAUGGUUUGUGUGAAAAGCUGGGCCUUGAAAGAAGCCUCUGCUCUCCGUCUCAUCCCCAGACAAAUGGUCUAGUGGAAAAGUUAAAUGGCACAAUCCAAAGGUCACUGAAUAAACUUGUAGCGGAACACCCCACAACUUGGGACAACUUUCUUCAAUCCACUACGUUUGGUCUUCGCACAAAAAAACAACUGACUACGAAAUGCAGCCCGUACUACCUGAUGUUUGGGAGGGAAGCCAGGUAUCCAUCAGAAGUACCUAAGAAUACAAAGUGACAGAACAUAUAUCUUCCUUACUUCAACAUGAAGAAGUGUGUGACAGAUUGAAAAGGCAGGCAAUGACCUAUAAGGAGGUUCAUAGCAAACAUAAAAAAAGUCAAGAUGCAAUACGUAAAAGGAAGGCCAGACAUGGCACUGAAGAGGAUUUCAAAGUGGGGGAUCUAAUAUUAGUAAAAAAUAUUAGGCAGGAGCAGAGGAAAGGGGGGAAACUGGACCCUGACAUGCUUGGGCCUUUUAAAAUCAUAAACCUCAUCAGAAAAUGUGCAGACAUUUUAUCAGAGGGAGGGGAAAAUAAAACAGAAGAUGAAUAUUGAUGACCUCACCCACUAUUUCCAGCCAGAGGAGAGGAUACCUGCAAAGUUGCAGAAAAUCUUGGCAACUUCUCCUCUGGCUCUCAUCAGUGGAGUCUACGUUGAAGGCAACAAGGAUCCAGAUCCUAGAUCAGCACAAAGAUGCAGAAAACUGUAAGUACACUGACAAAUUGAACCUUAAAACUUAAAUGUUCCAAAUGGUUAGUGUUUGUGUCUUUAUAGUAAUCAGAGUGAUAUGGGCUGGAAAACAAAAAACACCCUCUGGGCCAAAAUAGGGCCAUAGAAGAUCUUUUCAGAAAACUUCAUGGACUUGGCCACAGGGAAGGAGCUGGAGAGUGAGGUAUGUUACAUUUGUCAUGAUUAUCUGCUGAGUAGUGGAGGUAAAAUGGAUGAGAAGUUACUUCUGUAUUCAUAGGUGAUGAAUGGCUAUCUGACAAGUGUGGGCAAAAGGACAGGAGCUCUGAUUUUUAGAUUUGUAUCUGAUGACCUCAGCCUGGCAAGGAUCUACUAAAGGCUUCAGAAAGCUUGCAGAGCAAAUGCUAAAUAAGAGAUACAGUAUCCUAUCGACCAGGAGGGUGUGGCCAGGUUAAGGCUCAACAUAGCAAUAUCACUGCUGAAAGAUUCAGGUAAACUUGAGGAGAUGACCUAUCUCAAAUGUGUCGGGCUUGUGGGGAGGCCAGCUCGAGCGCAAAAGUGGAUAAAUGGAUUGAGUUUACCACCUGUAGGAGGUGGUGCCAUAUGUCCUGUGUGGGGCAUCCACCCACAGAUGGGGACUACAACUGCAAUAGCUGCCAAUAAAUGUUUUAUCAAAAGGAAAUGCUGUCUUUUCUCAAGGACAUCAGUUUUGAGUAUGGCACAACAAACUUCUAUGGCUGAUUAGAACAUGAAUGUCCUGUUUUUAUUUUUUUCUAAAUUGCUGCAUUUCGAAUUCAAUAAGUUAAAUAUUGCUGGACUGUGUUGGUAAGACUUUAACGUUUGUGUAUUUAAAUAAGUCAGUGUAGCGACAAUGUGAUCUAAAGCUGACAAUACGGUAGCAAUACAUCGUUAAACUACAAAAUUUUGGUGUUCUACCACACGGUUUGAACUUAUUAAACAAUGUGCACACUGUGUCCUGAUCUCCUGUUUUGACAGUAAACGGUGAUCACAGCUCCACUAGUUCCAACCGCGGUUACGUAGUUUUCUUUCUUGUUGCCUGACAGCGCAUGACUCUUACGAUGAGAACGUGACUUAUUUCCAGAUAUUUU